GGCGGCCCCGCCCCGCAGCGUUUGAGGCGCCGCAAGCCUUCACGCCCCUCGGGCCUUGCAGAUCCCUCUCCCAGUUUCCGCGGCGGUCCGGUGCGGUCAGUACCUGUCUAAAAUCAAUAUUGCCGAGGCCUCCGCAGCAGUCAGGCCCUGCCACCGAGCUGUUCGUUACCUCGGCUCCCGGGUUCCCAGAUCUCUUCAUCCGGGGGCCGCCUCAGGAGGCACCACGCGGGCCCCGCUGCAGCCACGCGCCCCCGGAACCGGACCUAUAGAGCCGGGUAAGUGCCGCCAGUCGGGGCGCUUUCCCGGUGACCCCCAACAUAUUCCGGCCUUCUGGGAAAUGUAGUUCCCCGUCACCGCGAAGUGCCUCUUUAUCUGGGGGCUCGCGACAGCGUCUAGAGGAGCCGAGAACUACAAGUCCCAGUGUGUUUCGCCGCAGAGCCUGCCGGUUCCGCUGCAGCUACGUAGCAGUAUCCCCUUGGAUCCGGCCUCCCGCCCAGUGCCUUUGGUCGCCGGCUGCCGCACCCGAGCCUGUAACUGACCUGGCGUCCCUGCCCUUGCCUGGCGGCGGUGGGGCUAGAGGCCGGGGGCCGCGGGUCGUAGCUAUAAGCAGCUUCCCGCGCAGCCUCCUGCGGACUUGGACUUGGCCCGGGUCACACACGCCCAGGGCCCCACACGCCCAGGGCCCCACGCCCUCUUCUGAAAUUCGCUUUACUCUGGGGGCGGUGCGCGACGAGCACUGCCUAGAGCUUCCCGCCCCCGCGGCGCCCAGGCUCUUUAGCUCGGCCAAAGACCCCUCCUCCACUCAUUUUUUCCUUCAUUCAUUCUCUCAUUCACUCUCGAGUAUUUUCUGAACCAGACUGUGCGCUGAGGGUACGGUAGGGAACAACACAGAGUCCCCCGCCCUCGCUUCCUCCUGACUGAGAUAAAAGACAAAAUGUGAAUAAAGGGUUAUAAUAUGGAUGAGUACUGUGGUGGAAAAAACGGGGUGGGUCAAAUGGUACGGAAGGAUGCUGUCUUAGAAUGUGCAGGGGAGGUGCCAGAUGUGCCAAGUGUGAGGGCAGGGCAAACAAGGCAAGACGAAUGGUAUGUACAAAGGCCUGGAGACAGGACGGGCACCUAAGGAACAGAGAAAAGACCGGUGAGCUGUGGAGUAGUGAUGGAGGGGGUCAAAUGGAGAAGAGUUUAGACGAUCGGGUCCCAGAAGAACCCCUUUUGUAGGCCGGGUGUGGUGGCUCAUGCCUGUAAUCCCAGCACUUUGGGAGGCCGAGGUGGGCGGAUCACCAGAGGUCGGCAGUUCGAGACCAGCGUGACUAACACGGUGAAACCCCGUCUCUAUUAAAAAUACAAAAAAUAGCCGGGUGUGGUGCGCGCACCUGUAAUCCCAGCUACUCAGGAGGCUGAGGCAGGAGAAUCGCUUGAACCCAGGAGGUGGAGGUUGCAGUGAGCGGAGAUGGUGCCAUUGCAUGCCAGCCUGCGCGACAGAGCGAGACUCCCUCUCAAAAAAGAAAAAAGCCCUUUUGUAGCCAGGUGUUAUGUAAUAUGGGGAAAUAGACUGAGAGGUUCCAAGAUUUGCUCAGUCACCCAGACUGCUGGGGGCCCAGACAGGACUUCUGCAGUCAGCUGCUUCCUGCUCCAGAUGGCCCGUUUCUCUCCACCUUGGCCCACAGCACCUACCAGUGUUGAGCAUUUACUGAGCAGCCACUGUGUGCUGCUUUAGAGGUAGUCCCAAUCUUCACAACAUCGCUAGGAUGGGGCAGGCCAACCGAGGAGACAGGAAAGACACUGGCUUUGGAGCAUGCACUAUCUCUGUGACUGAGCCCACCUUCAUUUUCCUCAAAAGUAAAAGGGAAAUACAUGUUGGUAAAACUCAUCACCCAGGAACUGGCCUGUGGGAAGUGCUCAGUAGGCAUUGGCCCCCGGCAGGGCUGGGGACACAGGCUCAGGGCUGGUUCUCUGACUUACCACUGUUACUAAUGAGUGUCGGGACCCUUUCCCUGCUCAGUGUCCAGGCAGAGCUGCUAGAGGCAGAGCCAUUUCUGAAGGAGCCCCCCGCAGCGGGAGGGCUUCUAGCAAGUCUUUCCCCUCCGCCUACCACACAUCCACUUCACUGAUGUUCCAGUCUUCUGACCUAACUGGUCACUCCUGUUUUGUUAAGCCCA
This is a long non-coding RNA of Homo sapiens (human), 2159 nucleotides long. The record is from Ensembl. Lineage: Eukaryota; Metazoa; Chordata; Mammalia; Primates; Hominidae.